CUAGUCUGCUGUAUAUAUCUAUGGUCGGCACGUCUGGUAGCAUCUCUGACUGCUGUUGAUCUUGUUUUUGGAGUAAAACACGGUGGAAGCUGAAUUAGUGAGGAUGACUCCUGCUCCUGUCAUCUCUAAGCUCCUCACACAUCUUUACCUGCACAUGAGGAAAAUCACUCCUGUAGAAUGCAGAUGUUCAGAGGGAGAUGAUGCCACAUCUGGUCCAGCUGAUGGAAGGUCUUGAAGUUCUCUGACUGGCCUGGACUGAAGAUGGUCGUCUCACUGGAUUUAAGAUGCACAAUGAGGGACGUCUGCAGUGACUGAGAAAGAGUCUCACCACAUCCUGACAUGAGGAAAAAGACUUUAUUGAAGACUACAAUGAGAAAAACUAUCAGACAGCAGACGGCUGCAUUCAAGUUUAGGCUGUUAGAUUGUUCCAGAUAAGACGAGUACAAGAUUCUUCAGAGCCGUUCUACCACGAGCCUGACAGGAAGAACUCCAACAGCUACUGAAUGUUCCUGUGGUUCCCUCAAGGCUACAGGAGGAGUCCUACGAGGACGAGCCGGUCCACCUGAUGGUGGCCAGUCGCUGCGGGUUCAAAGCCAACACCGACUACGUGGACUUCUACUGGACCACACGGAGGCCUUCAAACCGGACCAACAAGUUCAGUGACUCCCCGACUCGUGGGUCUGAGGACGCCACUGAGCCUCGGUCCAGCCGGCCUCCUGUCUGUGGGUGUUUGAGUGCUGAGAGGUUUGUGGAUCCAUGUGAACGUUCUGUGUUGAAACAGCAGCUUUGGACUCAGUAACGCCGGGAAAAACCAAGAGCUCCUUUAUUUGUGACUUCCACUAAAAAAACUGAUGAAAAUAAGUUUGCCAGGGUUCUGACUGAUAACAGAUUAUUAAAUAAUGAAAAUAAUCGUGGAACAUACCAUUAAACUCACCUUUUAGGUCUAUAUUGGAGGAUUUUAGGUGGAAUUUUCUUCCAAACCGUCUUUUAGUCUACAUUUAAGGAUGUUUAGAAUGGUAUAUUCUUCCAAACCAACUUCUCAGGUCUACAUUUCAGGUGGAAUAUUCCUCCAUACUAACUUUUUUGGUCUACAUUGAAGGAUUUUUUCUAAACCACCCUUUCGGGUCUAUAUUUGAGGUUUUAGGUGGAAUAUUCCUUUUAAUCAGCCCCUCAGGUCUCUUUGAGGAUUUUGGAUGGAAUACUCGGUUAAACCAACAUUUUAGGUGCAUGUCCAAGGAUUCUUGGUGGAAUGUUCCUUUAAGGUGGAUGCGUGAGGACCUUGUAGGUGGAAUACUUCCUGAAACCAACCUUUUAGGUCAACAUUCAAAGAUUUAAGGUGGAAUAUUCCUUUAAACCAACCUAAAUUUCAUGUUUUGAUCAUUAUCAAGUGAGAAACCUCAAUCCAGACUCCUCAUAAUGACGUUUGAGAUUUAUGCUGCUGUUAUUUGUUUAGUCCAGACUAAAUGACAGAAAUCCACAACUGUAAUUUUAUUUCAGGACUCGGUUAUUAAAUGUCAAAACAAUCCAUGUGACUCUAAAAACUCAACAGCUUUACAAACUCUAAAGUUAAACUCUUCACAAGGAUCCAAAAUAAGUUGGACUUCUACAUGAGAGCUUUAAUUAUUCUUCAUCUACUUCCUGAAAAGUUUGGUCAAUAAAAAAGACAAAAACUAAUAUUUUCAGCUGAACUACAGACAGACUUUGUGAUUUUUCUGCUCACAUGUUGUGUUGUUGUAAACUUCCUCUUUCAAAUAAAUAUCCUCCUAACCCCCUG
Molecule: long non-coding RNA, 1774 nt
Organism: Amphiprion ocellaris (clown anemonefish)
Lineage: Eukaryota; Metazoa; Chordata; Actinopteri; Pomacentridae
Source: Ensembl